Molecule: ribosomal RNA, 253 nt
Filed under: uncultured bacterium
Lineage: Bacteria
Description: partial 16S ribosomal RNA
Rfam family: Bacterial small subunit ribosomal RNA
Source: RNAcentral
UACAGAGGUGGCAAGCGUUGUUCGGACUUACUGGGCGUAAAGGGCGCGUAGGCGGUCUGCCAAGUCCCGUGUGAAAGCCCCCGGCUCAACCGGGGAACGGCGCGGGAAACUAGCAGGCUUGAGUUCGGGAGAGGGAAGCGGAAUUCCGGGUGUAGCGGUGAAAUGCGCAGAUAUCCGGAGGAACACCGGUGGCGAAGGCGGCUUCCUGGACCGACACUGACGCUGAGGCGCGAAAGCUAGGGGAGCAAACGGG